CGGGCGGUAGCUCAGCUUGGUAGAGCUUCCGGCUGUAGACCGGGUUGUCGCAGGUUCAAAUCCUGCCCGCCCGACCA
RNAcentral lists this transfer RNA (77 nucleotides) under Candidatus Bathyarchaeota archaeon. Its description in RNAcentral is "tRNA-Tyr". It matches the Rfam family "tRNA". Rfam says of the family: Transfer RNA (tRNA) molecules are approximately 80 nucleotides in length. Their secondary structure includes four short double-helical elements and three loops (D, anti-codon, and T loops). Further hydrogen bonds mediate the characteristic L-shaped molecular structure. tRNAs have two regions of fundamental functional importance: the anti-codon, which is responsible for specific mRNA codon recognition, and the 3' end, to which the tRNAs corresponding amino acid is attached (by aminoacyl-tRNA synthetases). tRNAs cope with the degeneracy of the genetic code in two manners: having more than one tRNA (with a specific anti-codon) for a particular amino acid; and 'wobble' base-pairing, i.e. permitting non-standard base-pairing at the 3rd anti-codon position. The record is from RNAcentral. Lineage: Archaea; Thermoproteati; Candidatus Bathyarchaeota. RNAcentral also lists the same sequence under 1 other name.